This 492-nucleotide ribosomal RNA is filed under the name uncultured bacterium. RNAcentral describes it as "bacterial SSU rRNA". It matches the Rfam family "Bacterial small subunit ribosomal RNA", at positions 28 to 520 of the family's 1533-position model. The record is from RNAcentral.
GAUGAACGCUAGCGGCAGGCUUAACACAUGCAAGUCGAGGGGUAUUGGUUUUCGGACCAAGAGACCGGCGCACGGGUGCGUAACGCGUAUGCAAUCUACCUUUUGCAGAGGGAUAGCCCCAGAGAAAUUUGGAUUAAUACCUCAUAGUAUAGUACUUUGGCAUCAAGGAACUAUUAAAGUCACAACGGCAAAGAUGAGCAUGCGUCCCAUUAGCUAGUUGGUAAGGUAACGGCUUACCAAGGCUACGAUGGGUAGGGGUUCUGAGAGGGAGAUCCCCCACACUGGUACUGAGACACGGACCAGACUCCUACGGGAGGCAGCAGUGAGGAAUAUUGGACAAUGGGCGCAAGCCUGAUCCAGCCAUGCCGCGUGCAGGAUGACGGUCCUAUGGAUUGUAAACUGCUUUUAUACAGGAAGAAACACUACUUCGUGAAGUAGCUUGACGGUACUGUAAGAAUAAGGAUCGGCUAACUCCGUGCCAGCAGCCGACGG